Molecule: small nuclear RNA, 107 nt
Filed under: Cebus imitator (Panamanian white-faced capuchin)
Lineage: Eukaryota; Metazoa; Chordata; Mammalia; Primates; Cebidae
Source: RNAcentral
GUGCUCACUUCAGCAGCACAUAUACUAAAAUUGGAACAACACAGAGAAGAUUAGCAUGGCCCCUGCACAAAGAUGACAUGCAAGUUCGUGAAGCAUUUCAUAUUUUU